Molecule: ribosomal RNA, 230 nt
Filed under: uncultured bacterium
Lineage: Bacteria
Description: partial 16S ribosomal RNA
Rfam family: Bacterial small subunit ribosomal RNA
Source: RNAcentral
AAAGGGUGCGUAGGCGGCCUGUUAAGUCAGGGGUGAAAGACGGUAGCUCAACUAUCGCAGUGCCUUUGAUACUGAUGGGCUUGAAUGGACUAGAGGUAGGCGGAAUGAGACAAGUAGCGGUGAAAUGCAUAGAUAUGUCUCAGAACACCGAUUGCGAAGGCAGCUUACUAUGGUUUUAUUGACGCUGAGGCACGAAAGCGUGGGGAUCAAACAGGAUUAGAUACCCUAGU